UGGGGAAUAUUGCACAAUGGGCGCAAGCCUGAUGCAGCCAUGCCGCGUGUAUGAAGAAGGCCUUCGGGUUAUAAAGUACUUUCAGCGGGGAGGAAGGGAGUAAAGUUAAUACCUUUGCUCAUUGACGUUACCCGCAGAAGAAGCACCGGCUAACUCCGUGCCAGCAGCCGCGGUAAUACGGAGGGUGCAAGCGUUAAUCGGAAUUACUGGGCGUAAAGCGCACGCAGGCGGUUUGUUAAGUCAGAUGUGAAAUCCCCGGGCUCAACCUGGGAACUGCAUCUGAUACUGGCAAGCUUGAGUCUCGUAGAGGGGGGUAGAAUUCCAGGUGUAGCGGUGAAAUGCGUAGAGAUCUGGAGGAAUACCGGUGGCGAAGGCGGCCCCCUGGACGAAGACUGACGCUCAGGUGCGAAAGCGUGGGGAGCAAACAGG
RNAcentral lists this ribosomal RNA (429 nucleotides) under Chloroflexota bacterium. RNAcentral's name for it is "Chloroflexi bacterium partial 16S ribosomal RNA". It matches the Rfam family "Bacterial small subunit ribosomal RNA", at positions 355 to 776 of the family's 1533-position model. Lineage: Bacteria; Bacillati; Chloroflexota. The record is from RNAcentral.